This 456-nucleotide ribosomal RNA is filed under the name uncultured bacterium. Its description in RNAcentral is "bacterial SSU rRNA". It matches the Rfam family "Bacterial small subunit ribosomal RNA", at positions 329 to 803 of the family's 1533-position model. The record is from RNAcentral.
UGGCUAACUCCUACGGGAGGCAGCAGUGGGGUAUCUUAGACAAUGGGGGAAACCCUGAUCUAGCCAUGCCGCGUGAGCGAUGAAGGCCUUAGGGUUGUAAAGCUCUUUCGUGGGGGAAGAUAAUGACUGUACCCCAAGAAGAAGCCCCGGCUAACUCCGUGCCAGCAGCCGCGGUAAUACGGAGGGGGCUAGCGUUGUUCGGAAUUACUGGGCGUAAAGCGCACGUAGGCGGACCGGAAAGUCAGAGGUGAAAUCCCAGGGCUCAACCUUGGAACUGCCUUUGAAACUCCUGGUCUUGAGGUCGAGAGAGGUGAGUGGAAUUCCGAGUGUAGAGGUGAAAUUCGUAGAUAUUCGGAGGAACACCAGUGGCGAAGGCGGCUCACUGGCUCGAUACUGACGCUGAGGUGCGAAAGCGUGGGGAGCAAACAGGAUUAGAUACCCCAGUAGUCCAGCUGG